UACGCUCGAAGACGUCAGAAAGUCGGAAUGGUAUUGCAAAGCGAAUAAGGGAUGAAUCGAGUAAGCGAAGCGAUGUGGCGAAUAGAGUAUAGCUAGAGAUGGUCUAGAGAUUAUGAGAUGCAUAGAUUGUGAAAGUGGAAAGAUGAGAAUGAGCUGUGAGACGGGAGUCAGAUUUAAGGCAAGUAUCUUAAACCCUUCUCUUGGAUAUAUUGCAAAUAUUCUGAUCCAUUCCUUUGGUAUAUGUUUCAAGUAUUCAUACCUUUCUUUUCAAUGUUCGAAAGUGCGAGUAUUCUGACCCAUUCUUUCUAAUCUUCAAGUUUCUAAAGAAUUUCCGUUUUACAAAUUAAUUCGAAGUUCAGAUUGUCAUUGAAGCAUGUGUUGCUCAGUGAUAGUUAGAGCUUUGAAUGAAUUGGGAUCUUCUUGAUUAUUCAAUCCGCCAUUGUCAUGCUGGUUAGCAGGCUAAAUUCAGUUGCUUAGCCGAUAAUGGAGGAUACUGAAUAGUUGAGGAUUUCCUGAACUGUGAUUUAUGAAAUGAUGGAUCAUGAUUUAUUAUUAUCAAAGUUGAUUUGGAAUUAUUCAGUUGUUGAUAAUAUUUAUGAUGAUGUUCUGUUGAUUUACAUUGGCUUCUUGAAUUGAAUUAGAGAAUUGGAUUAUUGUUUUUAUAUAAACCUGUGGACCAGAUUCGUGGUCAUGUUAGGCCAAUGAGUGCCUUGGAUCCAGUCAUAGAGCAUGGCGGGGCCUGCUCGGGGUUAGGUAUGACUGAUCAGCAUCCUAACCUUGGUUUUUAAUUAAAAUGUGAUAGUCCAAUUCAAUAAUUCUCUUGUGAAAGAUUGAAUUCCUCAGUAUUCAAUUGCUGUAAGGUAUUGUGAUUUUCUUAUACAAUACCUAAACUCGUGAACUCAGGUUGAAUCCUUUUAUAUCUUGAACUCGUGAAUUUCUAUUAUAUUAUUUCAGAAUUUUCAUUGCUUAUUACUACUUGCUGAGCAUUGUCGCUCACCCUUGCUAUUCCUUUCUAACCAUUUCAG
Molecule: long non-coding RNA, 1025 nt
Filed under: Daucus carota (carrot)
Lineage: Eukaryota; Viridiplantae; Streptophyta; Magnoliopsida; Apiales; Apiaceae
Description: long non-coding RNA (DCAR_LNC001903)
Source: RNAcentral